Molecule: long non-coding RNA, 237 nt
Filed under: Homo sapiens (human)
Lineage: Eukaryota; Metazoa; Chordata; Mammalia; Primates; Hominidae
Description: HSALNT0205231
Source: RNAcentral
AUACUGUCUUCAACCACAGAGAGCCAAUGCUGUCAUUCUCUGCCUUGGCAUCCGCAUAGAAAGAGAGUCUGUCUUGCACAGCAUCCAGUGACUUUCAGGAUGAAAACCACAGCUUUGAGAACAACUGAGUAGAAAGAAAGAAAACAGCCUAAUGACUCAUGGAUGCAUUGUAUCAUCACUGGGCAGGCUACCUUUGGACUACUAUUGUGUGAGAAAAUAAACCUUUGACUCAUUUGA